RNAcentral lists this transfer RNA (71 nucleotides) under Aleurodicus dispersus. RNAcentral describes it as "tRNA-Asn". The record is from RNAcentral. Lineage: Eukaryota; Metazoa; Arthropoda; Insecta; Hemiptera; Aleyrodidae.
UAAAUAUUUUAGUAUAAAAAUUAUAAUUAUAAUAUUAAUAAUUAUAAUUAUUAAUUUUAUAUUUAAUAUUU